GGGGUUGUGGCUCAGUGGUACAGUGCUUGCCUAGCACGCAGGAGGCACUGGGUUCGAUCCUCAGCACCACG
This 71-nucleotide transfer RNA is filed under the name Marmota monax (woodchuck). Its description in RNAcentral is "tRNA.Ala". It matches the Rfam family "tRNA". From Rfam's summary of the family: Transfer RNA (tRNA) molecules are approximately 80 nucleotides in length. Their secondary structure includes four short double-helical elements and three loops (D, anti-codon, and T loops). Lineage: Eukaryota; Metazoa; Chordata; Mammalia; Rodentia; Sciuridae. The record is from RNAcentral.